This is a non-coding RNA of Phasianus colchicus (ring-necked pheasant), 2903 nucleotides long. The record is from RefSeq and is a predicted model, not a curated record. Lineage: Eukaryota; Metazoa; Chordata; Aves; Galliformes; Phasianidae.
UAAGAUAAAAUUAACUGUCUUCCACAAAGUAUGUAGUCUUUCAAAUCAAAUGUCAUGAUAACUUUCAAACAUUAGUAGUUUUAUAUAUUAUAUAUUUCUUGCAAGCCCAUUCUCUGGAACUCCUGAGUACUAGUUGGAAAAGCUCUGUAACAUGCACUAAGACCACCUCUCAUCACUUUAAUAACACCAUUAAUUUAGAUAUCUUUAUAACAGCUGGGAUGCAAACAGGUACAACUCAAACAUCUGGAAUUCAAUACCCCAUUAGUUUGCCUUAUCUAUUCAGCUAAAUCUCAGCUGUUGCCUUGGAGCUAAAUGAAAUUUCUUAAGUGUAUUUUACCAUUUCUUGCCUUCAUAGUGAAAUUCCAUUUUUUUUUUCUUUUCCUAAAUGACAAAAGCAUUUGGCAUUGAAGAUUUUGAGAUUUUUGGAUUGCAGAAGUCAGCAAUAAUUCAUGUGAAACAGACGGGAUGGUACAGCUUCAUACAACAGGAAUGCCAUAAGGAUAUAGACCAGCAACACACUGAUGAUGGCUGACAAUACUUCUGCAAACAGAAAGGAAAGAACAUCAUAAAACUCAUUCCUGGAUCUGUCAGCUCCCCUUUCACCAUAGAAAAUAGAAGAAACUAAAGAUGGAGCAUACGUAUUAUAUAUUCAGAAAGAUAAAAAGCAGUGCUUUCUGCUGGAAUUUGAAUAGGCAACCAAUAGGCCUGCUGUCUUUACAAAGCAGCAUUUAUGGUACUACUAUGACAGUUCAUGGUUCUGCAAACAAAAGUGAAAAGGAGCACUGGAAACUAUUUACUGGCACAUUUUAGUGCUUAGUGCAUGUACGGAUUACCUUAAAAUGCAAUGCAAAGCAGACUGGUUAUGAGGCAGUUCUAGUGCAUACUCCCAGCUUUAAGCAGAUGCAUGUUGUUUUCUGUGACAGAUGCUCUGUCAGUAUCCUAUUUUUAACAUGCUGUCAUGUUUUACCACCUCGUGAAAUUCGGGCUAUUGAUGAGCUCACAUUUUGUUGACAAGCUUCUUACUGUACAUGAUAUUUGGAAAAAUGUAUUACAGCAAACAUGUAGCCCAGACUCAGCACUGUUCUACUGCCAGUGUUCACUGAUGUGUGAAACUGCGCGCUCAGGCCACAACGUUCAGAAAGGGUGCCUAAAAUCAUGCAAAUAAGCUUCUCAAAAAUCCACCCAUGUACAUCAUUUUUCAACCAUCCCAUCAUCAGUAUUCACAGGGCCCAGACCAAUGUUUUGAGGGUUUCUUGCUGAAUCCUUAUCAACCUCUCCUUCCUCACUGCAGCCACAGAAGCUCUCUUCCCACUCUCACAGGCUCUAGUCCUUUUCUUCCUACACAGAUCAUUAUGCUAAUGCACUGUGUUGCUGCUAACACAGAAGGAUGAGCAGAAAGGGGCCUCCGGUCUAGUCGAGUGCCCUGCCCAAAGCAGGACCAAGAGAGCAGGCUGCUCCAGGCUGUUGGGUCUGGGUAAUCGGCUGGUGCUUGACAACCUCCUGUCACUGGGCAGCAGAAAAAGAGGAGGAAUUGCUGCAGAAGUGAGAAGUCACUCCCUCUAUUCUCCAGGGAGAAAAUGAUGGGUGAUAUAGAUACAGGCCACCACUGGAUCAAUCUGGUCAGUACUUUCUUUGGCAAUAAAAUGAAGAAAAAAGUUGGGGAUUUUUUUGCUGGUUUGUUUUUAAAGUGAGGUGGCAGAAAUCCAAAGGGACUCCUGUUUGCAGAGUGCUAUGGAGAUCCUGAAUUAGUAAGUGAAAAUUUAUAAAACUGAGUAAUAUAUGAUCAAACUUUUUUUUUUUUCCUUAAGAACCAUUUCUGUUAUAAGGCUAUGUCAUGUUCUUUCUUUAUACUAUUUGGUUUUUGAAGAGUUACAAAUACAUAAACUGCUCGGACUAUUUUUAAAUGAGGUUAAAGUAUGUCUACAUGCUAGCAAACAUCCUUGUGGAAAGCAUGAACAAAUGCCAGGGGCAUACCUGCAAGGUCAGGUUUCAGUAUUAGAGGGAACUCUCAACACAAAAUUAAAACUUCUUGAAAGAAAAGUUUGUAAUAGGAAAUGCUGGCACUGUUAAUGCUUUCUUGCUAAAGCCCAAAGAUCUUUGCUGGUGUACAGUUAUGCAUUCAUGCAUUAGUGACUAACUGAUGACAAAUGACUAGGAGUGAUGGAGUUGUUGAAUUCUACUGCUGUUCUGGCAGCCAUCAUAAGAAUUAACAGUAAUGGCAGCACAAGAGUUUGAAAUUCCUUGAAAAAAUACCAUACAGAAAGCAUAAAGGUAGCAAGCCAUAACAUCCAAAAUGAUCCAUUUCAUGCAGCGUACAUUCAAACUUUUGGAAAAAUGACUGCAAGUCAAGACCUUCACCUGUAUAUUGUAAAUUAAUUAAUUAAUAUCCAGUACAGAUGGCAACCAUGUGAAAGCACCCUUUAUCAUCAUUAAGCUUCUAAAUGUGAAGUAAUGAGUCCUGAAAUUACCCUUCCAACAUUUAGUACAUAUUUCUGCUGACGUUUCUUUUUACAAAUACCCAAAAUGGGCACAAGUUAAGUAAUUUUCUGUACUGGACAUGAAGGGACAUCUUGAUUUCUUCUUUCUGCAAGAAGCAUAGUGAUUUAUGAGACUUCUUGCAGAGCUAUCUGAUCCUGCACUCUAUGGAACUUUUUACUUCUGGGAGUUAGCUCAGGAUUAUUCAUUAAUCACGUUUCAUUGGACUUUGUUUCCAGAUGUAGCAUUUGUACUGUUCUGUUCAAAUGAUUUAUUCCCCUGUGGCAAUACAUCCCAUGUAGUGGAUACACAACAGACUGUGAAACCUAAAGUUACUUUUAGGUUUGUUACUGAUUUCUUUCCAGUUACCUCUUCUUCUAGAAUUACAUAUUUUUAGCAUUAUUGCUUAAAAUACUAGCAAAAGCUGA